AAAUGUAACGCGUACUAACUUCCGAUGUCACGUUGUCGGCCGCCAACGUGGCCCUCCGCAAAGUUAGUAAUUGCACAUUCUGAUCAAACUCCUACCAUUCGGAGUUUAUAGAUUACCCAAUCAAAAUACUUUCGCUAACAACAAACUCAACUAGACCUCGUCUCUCACGAGCCUAUUCUUAUAGUCCAACCAGCCUAAGGUUUGCUAGGUCUACUAAGACUCAACCCUAGGCUCUGAUACCACUAUAAUCUGUCACGCCCGGGUACCAGCGGAAGUAGAUCCGGUACGUGCACAGAUCCGCC
RNAcentral lists this long non-coding RNA (302 nucleotides) under Ananas comosus (pineapple). RNAcentral's name for it is "long non-coding RNA (ACOM_LNC034464)". The record is from RNAcentral. Lineage: Eukaryota; Viridiplantae; Streptophyta; Magnoliopsida; Poales; Bromeliaceae.